GACGAACGCUGGCGGCGUGCCUAAUACAUGCAAGUAGAACGCACAGUUUAUACCGUAGCUUGCUACACCAUAGACUGUGAGUUGCGAACGGGUGAGUAACGCGUAGGUAACCUGUCUGGUAGCGGGGGAUAACUAUUGGAAACGAUAGCUAAUACCGCAUAAUAUUAAUUAUUGCAUGAUAAUUAAUUGAAAGGUGCAAUUGCACCACUACCAGAUGGACCUGCGUUGUAUUAGCUAGUAGGUGAGGUAACGGCUCACCUAGGCGACGAUACAUAGCCGACCUGAGAGGGUGAUCGGCCACACUGGGACUGAGACACGGCCCAGACUCCUACGGGAGGCAGCAGUAGGGAAUCUUCGGCAAUGGACGAAAGUCUGACCGAGCAACGCCGCGUGAGUGAAGAAGGGUUUCGGAUCGUAAAGCUCUGUUGUAAGAGAAGAACGGGUGUGAGAGUGGAAAGUUCACACUGUGACGGUAGCUUACCAGAAAGGGACGGCUAACUACGUG
This 505-nucleotide ribosomal RNA is filed under the name uncultured bacterium. RNAcentral's name for it is "partial 16S ribosomal RNA". It matches the Rfam family "Bacterial small subunit ribosomal RNA", at positions 28 to 507 of the family's 1533-position model. The record is from RNAcentral.